RNAcentral lists this long non-coding RNA (905 nucleotides) under Homo sapiens (human). RNAcentral's name for it is "HSALNT0239147". Lineage: Eukaryota; Metazoa; Chordata; Mammalia; Primates; Hominidae. The record is from RNAcentral.
GCUGGCGGAGCGGCUGGGCGGCGGGCCGGGCCCGGGGCCGCUUGGAAUGGCGCCUCCUCCGCCUUCGCCCCAACUGCUUCUCCUGGCAGCCCUCGCGAGGCUCCUGGGUCCCAGCGAGGUAAGGUGACCCGCUCCUGGGAAGGCCUCGGCCCGCGAGCUCAAAGCGCUUUGCCAAAAGUUCGUCCUGGAAGGAGUGGCGCGCCGAGGGGGACGCGGAGUUCUUCCGCUGGCGGGCUGGGCCUGGGGAGAGAGAGGGCAGGGCCUCGCCGCGUCCAGCGCCCCAACUCUUCGCUUUGGACCCACAGGUGAUGGCUGGACCGGCGGAGGAGGCGGGAGCCCAUUGUCCCGAGAGCCUGUGGCCUCUGCCUCCGCAGGUGUCACCAAGAGUGACCUACACACGAGUGAGCCCAGGGCAGGCAGAGGCAGGGUUCUAGUUCUCUGCCCCACCUCCAAGCCCAGGACAGAUCAGCCCCAGGACAGAUGGCUCAAAGACAGUGAGCCAUAGGCCUGUCAUCUGCAAUGCUGUGUCAGGAUGCUGUUGGGUAGCUGGCUCUGUGGACAAGUGGCUGUGAGUGGAACUCUCUCUGAGAGUAGCUGGAAAAAACCCAGGCUCCAGCUCCCUGAGGAGACAGCGGGAAGUCUCCUGACUUUGUGGGCCCCAGCUUUCUGUAGGAGAGGGUAUUAAUUCUGUCUCUACCUGUGAGCAGCGAGGGAGGGUAUGUGCCAGCACCGUGUACAGUACAGAGCUGCAUCGUGCAAGGAGUGUGCCUCCAGUUGCCAGGCUCCACACUGCGGGCUCAGCUUGCGUGGUAGCAUCUCCAUCUUCAUCGCCAGCUCCUCUGAAUUUUCCUUUGAAAUACUUAUUAUUAUUAUUAUUUGAAAUGGAAUCUCACUCUGUUGCCCAG